UACGUAGGGUGCAAACGUUGUUCGGAAUCACUGGGCGUAAAGGGUGCGUAGGCGGGUCUUUAAGUCAGGGGUGAAAUCCUGGAGCUCAACUCCAGAACUGCCUUUGAUACUGAGGAUCUUGAGUUCGGGAGAGGUGAGUGGAACUGCGAGUGUAGAGGUGAAAUUCGUAGAUAUUCGCAAGAACACCAGUGGCGAAGGCGGCUCACUGGCCCGAUACUGACGCUGAGGCACGAAAGCGUGGGGAGCAAACAGG
Molecule: ribosomal RNA, 253 nt
Filed under: uncultured bacterium
Lineage: Bacteria
Description: partial 16S ribosomal RNA
Rfam family: Bacterial small subunit ribosomal RNA
Source: RNAcentral